This is a long non-coding RNA of Colias croceus (clouded yellow), 239 nucleotides long. RefSeq lists it as uncharacterized. NCBI's taxonomy places the organism in Eukaryota, Metazoa, Arthropoda, Insecta, Lepidoptera, Pieridae. The record is from RefSeq and is a predicted model, not a curated record. The transcript has 2 exons.
AAAUAAAGUAAUAGGUACAUGAAUAUAUUUAAAAAUAAUGCGUGUGAGAUUUUACUUAAAGUUGCGUUUUUAGUACAAAAAUAACCUUGAAAAAUAUCAUUUUCAAUUUCGAUUUUCACAAAAACUACGCAUUUUAGUUGGAAAAGAAAAGCAGUUUGUUAAGAAAAUCCACUACCAGCUAUCGACUAAACAGCAAAAAAUAAUGAAAUUCGGGGACAUCGAAUCAAAUAUGCAGCCAA